GACUGGCCCACAGGUGGUGAGGUCUCUCAAUUGUUCGCAGUUACAAGUCGAGCUCCUUGUUCUACUCUUUCCUCCGCUCACCGCUGCACUUGACUCGUCUUAA
This 103-nucleotide Y RNA is filed under the name Propithecus coquereli (Coquerel's sifaka). RNAcentral describes it as "Y RNA (ENSPCOG00000006483.1)". It matches the Rfam family "Y RNA". Rfam says of the family: Y RNAs are components of the Ro ribonucleoprotein particle (Ro RNP), in association with Ro60 and La proteins. The Y RNAs and Ro60 and La proteins are well conserved, but the function of the Ro RNP is not known. In humans the RNA component can be one of four small RNAs -- hY1, hY3, hY4 and hY5. The record is from Rfam by way of RNAcentral. Lineage: Eukaryota; Metazoa; Chordata; Mammalia; Primates; Indriidae.